GAUGAACGCUGGCGGCGUGCCUAAUACAUGCAAGUCGAGCGAACGGACGGGAAGCUUGCUUCUCUGAUGUUAGCGGCGGACGGGUGAGUAACACGUGGAUAACCUACCUAUAAGACUGGGAUAACUUCGGGAAACCGGAGCUAAUACCGGAUGAUAUUUUGAACCGCAUGGUUCAAAAGUGAAAGACGGUCUUUCUGUCACUUAUAGAUGGAUCCGCGCUGCAUUAGCUAGUUGGUAAGGUAACGGCUUACCAAGGCAACGAUGCAUAGCCGACCUGAGAGGGUGAGCGGCCACACUGGAACUGAGACACGGUCCAGACUCCUACGGGAGGCAGCAGUAGGGAAUCUUCCGCCAUGGGCGAAAGCCUGACGGAGCAACGCCGCGUGAGUGAUGAAGGUCUUCGGAUCGUAAAACUCUGUUAUUAGGGAAGAACAUAUGUGUAAGUAACUGUGCACAUCUUGACGGUACCUAAUCAGAAAGCCACGGCUAACUACGUG
RNAcentral lists this ribosomal RNA (497 nucleotides) under uncultured bacterium. RNAcentral's name for it is "partial 16S ribosomal RNA". It matches the Rfam family "Bacterial small subunit ribosomal RNA", at positions 28 to 507 of the family's 1533-position model. The record is from RNAcentral.